This 400-nucleotide ribosomal RNA is filed under the name uncultured bacterium. RNAcentral's name for it is "bacterial SSU rRNA". It matches the Rfam family "Bacterial small subunit ribosomal RNA", at positions 355 to 771 of the family's 1533-position model. The record is from RNAcentral.
UCGAGAAUCUUUUGCAAUGCGCGAAAGCGUGACAAAGCAAUGCCGCGUGCCGGAUGAAGGUCUUCGGAUUGUAAACGGCUGUCACCCGUGACGAAAAAUGACGGUAACGGGAGAGGAAGCCACGGCUAACUACGUGCCAGCAGCCGCGGUAAUACGUAGGUGGCGAGCGUUGUUCGGAUUUAUUGGGCGUAAAGGGUCCGUAGGUGGUUUGUUAAGUCUGACGUGAAAUCCCAUGGCUCAACCAUGGAACUGCGUUGGAAACUGAUGAACUGGAGUGUUGUAGAGGUAAGCGGAAUACCAGGUGUAGCGGUGGAAUGCGUAGAUAUCUGGUAGAACACCGAAAGCGAAGGCAGCUUACUGGGCAACAACUGACACUGAGGGACGAAAGCGUGGGGAGCAA